GACGAACGCUGGCGGCGUGCUUAACACAUGCAAGUCGAACGGAAAGGCCCUGCUUUUGUGGGGUGCUCGAGUGGCGAACGGGUGGGUAACACGUGAGUAACCUGCCCUUGACUUUGGGAUAACUUCAGGAAACUUGGGCUAAUACCGGCUAGGGGCUCAUGCUGCAUGGUGGGGGUUGGAAAGUUUCGGCGGUUGGGGAUGGACUCGCGGCUUAUCAGCUUGUUGGUGGGGUAGUGGCUUACCAAGGCUUUGACGGGUAGCCGGCCUGAGAGGGUGACCGGCCACAUUGGGACUGAGAUACGGCCCAGACUCCUACGGGAGGCAGCAGUGGGGAAUAUUGAACAAUGGGCGGAAGCCUGAUGCAGCAACGCCGCGUGCGGGAUGACGGCCUUCGGGUUGUAAACCGCUUUCGCCUGUGACGAAGCGUGAGUGACGGUAAUGGGUAAAUAAGCACCGGCUAACUACGUG
Molecule: ribosomal RNA, 468 nt
Filed under: uncultured bacterium
Lineage: Bacteria
Description: partial 16S ribosomal RNA
Rfam family: Bacterial small subunit ribosomal RNA
Source: RNAcentral